GCUUGUUCUUUUUACGUUUUUUUUUCUUUUCAAUUUUUUCUUUCAGG
RNAcentral lists this non-coding RNA (47 nucleotides) under Protocruzia adhaerens. The record is from RNAcentral. Lineage: Eukaryota; Ciliophora; Spirotrichea.